CAGAGCACUCUUCCAUCUGUAGAUGUCUCGGCUGCUCUACAAGGGAGUCCCAUUUCAGGUGUGGUGCUGGGCAUGGUCACUCCUGCUGAAUGUCUAGAAGGUGAAAACCAAGGACCUAGGGAAAUACCAGGUACAGCCUUUCCACCCUCAUCCAGAGCGGGACAAACAGGCCAGGCGGUGUCAGGAGCACAGGUCUCCAGCUGGAGGGAGUGUCAGCCCUGCAGUAGGAGUCCAUCACGCAUCCUAGGCACAUAUGCUAAUGUAGGUAUCACAGGUAAGCUGGGCUUGGUACCCUUCCCUGGCCUCAGAAGGAGGACAAACAAGGAGCUUUCUGCAGAAUGAAACCUUUUCCAUCCAGAAGCACUGCUGACUGUUUGGUGGUUCCCAUUUGUGGCAGUGAGCUUUUUUUCCAUCCCGAGGUUGGGCUGGUUUCUCCUCUUGGCCCUGCCCUACAGACCAUAAAGGAGAACAGCAAGAGGCUCCCAGCAAACAUCCACAGAUUGCCCUGGACAUCAGCCACAUUCUGAGAAACAUGUCAUGUUCUGGGAGGGCUAAGGCAUCAAGUAAGGCCUAUGGUGCUGGAGGAUCCCAGGGCAGGUGGGCAAUCCAUAGCCGUGGGGGCUUCCCAUGGGAAUCAGGAGGUCUCAAGGCAGAGGGAGGGGUUCCACAGGAGGAGUCACAGAGCCACCAAGGGCUCUCCUGGCCCAGGGAGCAGCCAACACCAUGGACUGAACACCUGCUGGACUCCAAGCCCUGGGCCAGGCUGGGGCAUGUGGGGCCAGGAGGCAGCUCAGAGUGGGAAGCAGAGAGAGAAAUGUGCUCAGAGGGCACCUGUUUCUGGAUGUAAUGUGGUCCUGAGAUUGUGGCUGGGAAGUGCUUCCAGGGUUACAUAUGUGUUACGCAACUGCUUCCUCUCCCCAGCCUCACUCUGCAGGAAUUCAAGUGACUAUAUUGCCACCAUCUUGGAGCUCACUGCCCUCAGUGUAAUGGCACCAGUAGAUCUGCCUGUGCACAGACUUCCUGUACUACCCACUCUUGAGGGGUGAUGCUUCUGCCUCACCAUAUGCUCAGGCCUAUGACCGGAUGCACAACUUUAGACACCAUCAUCCUGGAGCAGCUCUGCACCCUCACUAGCCAGGGUGUUGACAUCCUCAAGGCCAAGGCCACAUUCAAGACUUUGGAUUUCAUUGAUGCACUUGUCCUGAGCAAAGUGGGCAUCUCUGGGAUCUUAAUUCAGGAGGUAGAAUGCAGCUUGAGAUCAAGUGUCUGAUCAAAGAACUUGAACUUGAUCUGGAGGGCUCUGGGGAGCCAGGAAGGUGCUGGAUAAAGAAGGGACUGUCAGAUAUGUUUUAGAGAUGACUGUAGAAGGCUUCCUGAAAGGAGUGAACAAGAGCCAGGAGACCAGGGAGGGAGCUUGUGGGUCAGGUCUGGAGAUGGCAAGGGAGGAAUCCUGCUUGGAUGAAAGGUCUUCAGGGACCGUCUCAGGUUAACACUUAGGUGCCCUCAGAGCUAGUGUGUUCAGAGGUCUUGUCUCCAGGAUGAAAAUGAGAAGGAGUUGUCAGAUAAGAACAUAUAAAUGGAGGCUGGCAUCUUCAUGAGUGCCAAUCGUGGUCCCGGUGUGGACUGCUGUGGGAACAGGGGUCUCUCCAUCCAGAGACAUGGUGGUUGGACCCUACAUCACUCCAUUCUGCCCUUCCUUUCCCUCCCAUUCUCCCCGAGGGCCUCAGUGAUGGGCGCUGUCCAUCCUCUGGUGCUGAAGCAGCCCAGAAACCCAAGCCUGCCUGGCUGCCUCUUAGGAUACGACAGCACAGCCAGUGGCCUCUACUGGAUCCUGUACAACCUCACAAGACACCCAGGCAGUGGGAGUGCUGGCAGCAUGUGGUACAAGAGUUCCAAGGGACCACAAUCCUGAAGACAUUGAAUGGUGGGUGCAGGGCUUCAUGGCCUGUUCCCUAGGCCCUCUCAUUGGCUCUGCUCCAGGUGGUGAAGGGGGAUAACUUCUCUGUCAAUUCUGCCAUGAUUGCCUAGCAGGAAAAGGAGUAGAGCCCAGAAGCGCAAGGCCUGGUAUCCAGCCUGCCUAACAAGGGAGAAUUUGUAGGCUUUGUGGACAGAAAGAUCUGGGAGUCCAUAUCACCCACUAACUUGCUGAGACAUUAGUAAAAUCAGUUUUCUUUUCUGAACUAUGUUUCUGUCAUCUGUAAAUUGAGAGGAAUUUCUUUUACCCCACAAGGCUGCUUGGAGAAUUAGUGACAGUGUGUGUAGAGCAGCAGGCAUUUGGUGUCCAGACCACUCCUCUUCCCCCUUGUUUUCAGCCUAAAUUUGCAUUUUGUUCCCAAGACCUUCACUCCCCUUAAUUUUGUUCUUCCCUCUGAUUCCCACCUUGUCAUCUAUCCCAUGGAAUCACCAGGAUCAAAGUGGAUAACAGUCGUGUAUGCAUGUAUGUGUAUAUACAUAUGCACUGUGUUGGUGUUGGGGUGUGGUGUGUGAUUAUGUGUAUGUGUGUUGGAGUUACUGAGUGACUGAAACUCCUACACCAGGCUGUGUUUCUGCUCAUUGCUGGAGGUGCUGUCAGGGGCCCUGCCCUCAACCCCAGGUCUGACCCUUGCAGUACAGGCAGGACAUUCUGGAGGAAUCAUGCCCUUGGAAGAAUCCCUGAGGAGUGACUGGUGGGUAUUGGUGGAUAAAUACUCCAGCUCCCUUGCUCUGGGUGGGAUGACUCUGAGGCACAUGUUCUAUGCUGUCUCUCAGAGGUACCUGGCUGGGCUGAGUCCUGGCUGCCACAGUGGAAACUUUCUUGAUGAAGCUCCCUUUAACUGCUGCAUUCCUUUCCUGUCUCAGUUCCCCACUCCUCUACUGGUGUUUCCUGGGAUUAGCACCCUAAGGAAGAAUUGGCAGUCGAAUUACUGUCCUAGAGUCAUCUCCAAAUAAAAUGUUUAUAUUUGAAUCUUUGCCUCAGGAUCUACUUCCCGGAAACUCAAACUAAGACACACAUUUUUCUUUUGGCUCCUCCAGUCCCUAUAGACCUGUCAUCCUGCUGUUUUUACCAAAAAGGAAUGUGAGGAUCAGAGAGGGCAAGUUAUUUGCCCCAAAUCACACAGCUGAACAGUGGAGGAGUUCAACUUUGACCAUGGACUGUCUGGCCCCAAGGUGGAUGCUUGCUCCUCUCCCAUGAGACUCCUCCCUUAUCAGGUUCAAAUAAAUGAAUGGAGGACAUUAAAAGUAGGGUCUCUGAUGCCUGUGCCAGAGAAAGUUCAGGCUCAUGGCUGGUGCCUGUGUUCUCAUUCUUACCUCAUUAAGAGUAAUAAUGAAAAACAUGCUCAGUGCUGACCGUGUGCCUGGGAGUGUUGUUAUUACACACUUUGCUUACUUUAAUUAAUUUUCACAAUAGCCUUGUUUUUACUUCUAGUUUUUAGGUGAAAAAACUGGGAGAGUUGCCAAAAUUCAUACCGCUGGUCCAGGUUUGAACCAAGCAGUCUGCACCUAGAGUCCUUGUUUGUAACCAUGGCACCCUGGCUUCACACACAUCUCAUCGUGGAGUUCCACCUUGUGUCAGGCAUGGCACUGAGCAGCUUCUUUUAAGAACAUAAUUUGUAAUUAUAUAGAUUACUAAUUCUACUUCAAAAUGCCACACAGCCUUCAGGUGAUAAAAGGAAAUAAUUGGUAAGUGGAAGCACUGAAAACAUUCUUUUUUCCACUCGCAAGUCCAUUGCAACAGUUGGGACAGUGUUUUCUCUGUGCCUAUAGAAACCUCAGCUCCUGUGCCAGGCAGGGGCCUCAUCUGUUUUGUUUCUCCUGUGGCCUGGGUCCUGGAACUGUGUCUCAUACAGUGUAGGUGCCCAAGGGAAGUUUACUGUUGAAAAACUGUCUACCUGGGAGACGUUACUGUUAGUCUAACCUGUACCACUUUGUAAACCUCCAGCCAUUUUGCAGACCCUGGUCAGAGUGAAACGUUCUAUGGGAACUCGGGCCGUGAGAAGCAUCCUUCCUAACCACCUGACUGUAGAAACAUCCUUAUCACAUCCUCCCGGUCAAAGGCCCAACAGCCUGACUGCAGGAACAUCCUUGCCAUAUCCUGCCGGGCAGCAAGCUCUACCGCCCAGACCCCUCCCUCCCAGUCCCAUGAUUGCCCCAGCCUGUGAGCGGCAGUUGGUGCUGGCACUAAGCUGGUUUCCCCCACCGCAGGGUUUUGCUAGCAAUAAAGGUGUUGUUGUUGAGGCUGCCAG
Molecule: long non-coding RNA, 4223 nt
Filed under: Pongo abelii (Sumatran orangutan)
Lineage: Eukaryota; Metazoa; Chordata; Mammalia; Primates; Hominidae
Description: lincRNA
Source: RNAcentral